UACAGAGGGGGCAAGCGUUGUUCGGAAUUACUGGGCGUAAAGGGCGCGUAGGCGGCCCUCUAAGUCGAACGUGAAAUCCCCGAGCUCAACUCGGGAACUGCGUCCGAUACUGGCGGGCUUGAAUCCGGGAGAGGGAUGCGGAAUUCCAGGUGUAGCGGUGAAAUGCGUAGAUAUCUGGAGGAACACCGGUGGCGAAGGCGGCAUCCUGGACCGGCAUUGACGCUGAGGCGCGAAAGCCAGGGGAGCAAACGGG
This 253-nucleotide ribosomal RNA is filed under the name uncultured bacterium. RNAcentral's name for it is "partial 16S ribosomal RNA". It matches the Rfam family "Bacterial small subunit ribosomal RNA", at positions 524 to 776 of the family's 1533-position model. The record is from RNAcentral.